CAACAAUGUAAACAGAUUAGUUUCAAAAACAUUAGUUACUCUGUUAAAUAAGAACAAAAAAAAACCUAUAAGAAAAAAUGGCAUUUAAACCAACUAGUUUUAUGAUUAUUGGAUUUCUCUUGGCAGUGUCUUGUAUUCUGAGCAUCCGAGCAGUCCCGACUUGUCCCUCUCAUGAAGAUGGUACCCCGACAUACCUAGAAGACCCUACAGAUUGUUCAUAUUUCUACGAAUGUAGUAACGGAAAGGCCCUCAGAUUCCAGUGCGCAACCGGUACUUAUUACGACACUAGCAUAGACCGCUGCAAUCGCGCCACCGAAGUCGACUGUGGUACCAGAUCAACAACAGCCAGUGAUGCCACUACAAGUCCUUCCUUUUAGACCUUCAGCGUGAACUACAUCUUAUUAAAAAUCUUUAAAUAAAAUUUUUAAAAUCUAAAA
Molecule: long non-coding RNA, 437 nt
Organism: Sitophilus oryzae (rice weevil)
Lineage: Eukaryota; Metazoa; Arthropoda; Insecta; Coleoptera; Curculionidae
Exons: 2
Source: RefSeq, a predicted model, not a curated record